CUUUUUCAUUUUUAUCGGUACCGGGGAUCGAACUCACGACUGCCUGCUUGCAAGGCAGGUGCUUAUGCCGCUGAACUAAAUCCCUAGCCCCUUUUUUGUUCUUUUUGAGACAGAGUUUCACUGUGCUGAGGCUGGACUUGAGCUCACAGCAGUUAUCCUACCUCAGCCUCUAGUGCUGAGAUUAUAGGCAUGAGCCCACCACACCUGGCCAUUUUUUUGGAUUUUGGAAAGAUAUCAAAUAUAAAGUGAAAUUCUCGCUUCUGUCCACCAGCUUUUUCCUUCUACAAGUAUCUCUUGAGAGAAAGUAGUGCCUCUCUACCUGUAUAUAUAGCUAUAUAGAUUUUCAAAGUAAAAAUGUUUUGAAAGACCACAGGAUGUAGCUCUGUGGUAGAGUGCUUGCCUAGCAUGCGUGAGCCCCUGGGUUUGGUCCCUAGUACCACAAACAAAAAGAACAAAACAGAAAAAAUUGGCAUAAAAGGCUCUUUUUUGUCUUUGAGUUAGCUCUUGAAAACGUUGUUCAUUUUUAUUCUAGUGACCUGGUUGGCCAACUUUCCAUUCAGAUUAGCAUGUGCCACAAACAGCAUAUGUUGGUACUAACACGUGGUAUUGUGAUCCAGAGGUACUCUCUGUUGUAUGUGUAACUGAUUGAUUUAAAGGGACAAGAUCACUUGCAGCUCCAGUCGUGUAAAUCCAAUUCUAGGAUAGUAUUUCUAGUUCUCAGAAUGAGUUCACUCUGUUAUAUAGUUCAGUGGUUUUUAGCAUACAGUAUUCACAAAGUUGUGCAACCAUCAUUACCAUCCAGAAUAUUUUCACUACCCCCCCCCCAAAAAAAAACCCAAACCUGUUACCAAUCACUCCUUAUUUCCCAUCCUCGCCCAAUCUUCUGGCAAGUACAGGUCUACCUUCCUGCCCAUGUUGAAACAUUUCAGAUAAAUAAAAUCAAAUAUCAUGCAGGCUUUUGUGUGUGGUUUCUUUCACUUAGCAUAAUGUGUUUGAAGUGCCCCCCACAUUACAGCAUUGUACUAGAUAUGCCAUGUUUUAUGUAUUCAUCAGUUGAUGGAUGUUAGGGUUGUUUCUACGUUUUGGCUAUUAUGACUAGUGUAACUGAACAUUCAUGUACCAACUUUUAUGUUGGAUAUACGCCUAGAAGAGGAACUGUUUGGGAAUUGCAAAACUUUUUUCUCACCGGUGUACCAUUUUACAGUCCCACUAGUAGUGUAUGAAGGUUCCAUGUUUUCUUCAUGUCCUUGUUAUUAUCUGCCUUUAAUUUUAGCCACCAAAGGUGAAAAGUGCUAUUUCAUUGCAGUUUUGAUUCGCAUUUUCGCUACAGUAUUGGCUAAUGUCAUUAGCAUUUUUGCCCAGUUUUAAAUUGAGUAAUUUGGUCUUUUUUAACUGAUUAAUCGGAGGUGUUCAGAUUAUUUUUUCUUUUGUGCCUCUUGCUUUUGUUGUCAUACUGAAUUGGUACUUCAUAUAUGGAAGCUACUGAAAAGUUCAGAAAGUGAUAUCCUUGAUACCUGGUGGGUACUUGAAGAAAAUUUUAAUGAAUGGUUUCCAUUUCAUUUUAAUUGUAGUGUGCAGAGUUAGGCUUCGAUUGAAAAUGAAGCUUUAAAAAAUACUUUUGGUAUUUAAAAACUGUCACUUUGGAACCAAAUUGGAACUUUGAUGACUGAACUCAGUAUUCUAGGUUCUCAAUUAUUCUUAGGUUUCUCAAAUUAUUCUAGGUUUUCUUAUAGACUUUAAUGUAAAUCUGUAUGCCUUACAGAGUGAGGCCCAUAAGCAUGCUGCUUGAUUUCAUCAUGUUACUGGGUAUAAUCCUAUGUCUCUGUGUCUCAGGUUGUUCAGAGCACUCCCUGAGCAGACAUUUAAAUCAUUUCCAUUUGCCCAGCUAGACAUUUUUUAUGGUUUUCUUUCUUUUGGUAGAAAGGUGAUUUUAGAAUAAUAUGUGCAUUUUUAGGCAUUGUCUGAAAAAGUGACAAGUGGUAUGAUAUAUAUCUUUUUAGAGAGGCUGUUUCGUUUUUACUACACAAAAUAGGUCAGUUACAGACUUAUGUGUGGUAAACAGUAAAGGCAUGUGUAGGUGUGAGCAGCACAAGGGAAGAGGGUUCAGUCAGAGAUGCAGGUGUUUGGGAGGGGAUGAAAUCCAGCUGCGUAUACAAGGGAUGGGGCGGAGGAAUUGGGGGGAGCCAGGUGCAGCUUGAAGUCACAUGGUGAAAAUGUUAGUGGGAGAUCAGUACCACUGUUCUCAUUUGCAUUUCUAAACCCCACUGGCAGUGGCCCGGGGUCAUGAGGACAUGUAUCCCAGCUCUACCUGGAUGGAUUCUUCGACCUCCUCCUCCUCCUCUCACCUGCAACUCAUUGUCCCUUUGAAGAGUUACUCAGGAUCUGAUAGAGUCAGCCACUCCUGAUGCUGCCUUGGAGGUUUUCCAUUAUCAUAGGGCAGUGGCGAAAUCUUCCUGUGGCUUCUGAAGCCCUGCCCACGCCAGGACCUGGUCCUCCAGCUCUGUCUACCUAGCAUACUCCUCCUCUCCAGUUUCCAGGUGCUCAGGCCUUCCUGGGCUACUCCUAGUCCAUGCCAGGGCCAGGCCUCCUUGGCAGGGCCUUGCAUAAGUCCAUCCCUUUACUGCUGAGCUUCGCUUGUGCUCAAACCUGGGUCAAAUCAAAUCCCCUCCCUUGGAGUCACAUCGCUGAGAGCUGUGUCUCCAAGGACAAUGCAUGGCCAAAAUGAACAUCAAGACAUGAAACACCCCCAAUGGAAACCCAUGUAUGGUCUUUCAUUAACACAGUGUAACACUACCCAGUUUCCUUCCUCUGUUGAAAGACAGUGCUUUUCUUUAACUGUUGCUCUGCAGGUGAAAUACUUAGCUUAAUGUUACAGGACUGUGUUAUAUGCACAGGAAGUCCUUCUGAUGGCUAAAAUCACACAGGCAUGCAGGACCUGAUUGAAGGGGUCUCAUGUUUUGUCCCCUCCCCUACAGUUGUGCCUAUCAAGGAGGGAGACGGUAGGCAGACUCCCCUGCACAAUUUUUUAAGCAUGCAUUGAUUGGUUGAUAGGCUGUACUGGGGAUUGAACCCUGGGCCUUCACCCUGAGCUACAUUCUCAGCACCUAUUUUUAAAAUAGGGUCUCCCUAAAAUGCUAAAUUGCCCAGGUGGGAGUUGGAAUUGUCUAUCCUGCUUCAGCCUCCUGAAGUGCUGCCAUUACAAACGUACACCACCGCCUCCACCUGCUCUUUUGAGUUUUGGCUGUCAGUAGUUCUAAGCUAUCCCAAGUACCUCAUUUCAUAGGACUGCCACAGUUGUGACUUAAGGGACUUUGGGCAUGGCCCAGUGUCUGGGCAUCGUGGCACUCAACAAAAAUAUUUGUUGAAAAAGUAUUUUCCUGUCUGUUCCAUAAAGCGGCUUCAGAAGAGAGUCUGCAGGUGUGUGAUUCACGUUUCACUUAAGUGAUAUUUUAAACCACUUAAACUCCAGUAAAACAUAGGCACACUCAAAUGUACUGUACACUAGUGAUCCAUCAUCAGAGGGUAGUAGUUCUGUCCCUUUAACUUGUUCUCUUGCACAUCCAGAUAGCAGAACAGAGCAAGUUGAAAGGCUCUUACUGGGCACCUCAGGUAUGACCGGGCUGCCACCCAGAGUGGGGUCAUGGAGGGCGGGCCUUGAGUAAGUGGACCGAAGGGCAGAGCGGGGGAGGGGCACAGGUGCACACUGCGGCUGCGCACAACGGCGACGUCAGCGGCUUCCAACGGUCUCCGUUUGGCCUCCGUUUGGCUUGGCCUAGUCUGGCGACGGCGGUGACAAAGAUUCGUUAGGCAGGUGUGCCGACGUGGAAGUCAUGAAGCGAAAGCGUAAGGAGCAGCUUCAGUUGGCGGCGACCCAGUACUUGAAGGACCGACAGUAUAAGGUCGAGGAGCAGCCAUCCACGAGUCAAGGCUUACGCUUGCAGCAGAGCCCUGAGGAAAUGGCGGCCCGCCUCUUCGUGCAGGCAGAGUCGGGCAGUGACAACCUUGUGGCCGCCGCCCCGUGCUACGGGGGUCCCCAGCAGGCUGAGGAACAGUUUGGCCGACUGUGGCAGUUCCUCCACGAGUCAGACACCCCGUCGCACUGCGACAUUAAGCCGCUGCUCUACCCAUUCUUUGUCUACCUCCUGCUUGGCCUGGUGGAGAGCGGCCCAAGGAGCGCAGUGGAAAGUUUCUACAACCGCUUCCACGGCCACUUCCUGCAGGACGAGAGCCAGAGGGACAUUAUCGAGCAGCUGGGGGCCACCCACAUCGCCCAGGACAUCCUGGCCUACCCUCGACUCUGCAACUUCCUAGAAAACAAGUAUGUGGUGCGCCUCAAGGAAGAUGGCUACCACUUCCUAAUGCGUUACCUGCAGAGUGAGAACAACGCUGCCCUGUGCCAGGUCCUCACGGUGCACAUCCAGCUGGACGUGCAGCCUGCGGGGGCAGCAGACACCCAGCGCAAGAGCGGCGCAGACACCCCGCAGGAGCUCAGCCCUGUACUGGUCAGCUUGCAGCACGAUGAGGACGCCCUGGAGGCCUUGCAGGAGAGCAUCAGGCGCGUCCGGGCCGGGCCGCCCUCCCUUAUCGCACUACGCUUCUACACCUUUACCAACACGCAGCAGCAGCUAAACACGGCCGAGGUCGCCCGCAAUGACAAGCUGCUCGCUGCCGGCUUUGACAACUCCAGCAUAAAACUCUGGAGCCUGUGUUCUGUGAAGCUGAAGUCUGAGCCCCACAUUGCGGAUGUCUCGCAAGUUCACCUGGCUUGUGACCUCCUGGAGCAAGAGGAGGUUGAGGAGGGUAGCAUAGGCACAGAGGUGAAGCUCCUUCGGGGGCACGCUGGGCCUGUGUACAGUGUGCGCUUCCUCCCUGACAGCACGGGGCUGCUCUCUUCUUCAGAGGAUACGUCCAUCCGGUUCUGGGACCUGAACACCUUCACCAACACUGUGCGGUACGAAGGACAUGCCUACCCGGUGUGGGACCUGGACGUCAGCCCAUACAAUUUGUACUUCGCCAGCUGCUCUGUCGACCGCACUGCCAGGCUGUGGACCUUUGAUCGCACGUACCCGCUGAGAAUUUUGGCGGGACACUUGGCCGAUGUGGACUGUAUCAAGUUCCACCCGAAUUCCAACUACCUCGCUACCGGCUCCACCGACCAGACCGUGCGGCUAUGGGAUGCCCAGCAGGGAUCCUCUGUGCGGCUUUUCACCGGCCACCAUGGCUCCGUGCUUGCUCUCGCCUUCUCUCCUAAUGGAAAGUACUUGGCAUCUGCUGGUGAAGAUCAGGGGUUGAAGCUGUGGGACUUGGCUUCCGGGACUCUUUAUAAAGACUUGAGAGGCCAUGAGGAUAAUAUCACCAGCCUCACCUUCAGCUCAGACAGUGCUCUAGUGGCCUCUGCCUCCAUGGACAAUUCGGUUCGUGUCUGGGACAUCCAGAGCACACAAGGCACACCUCGCUUCCCAGGCGCCUCUAGCGAGCUCUUGGGGGUCUACACUGGGCAGAUAAUGGUUUGAACUGAAUUAUAAAGUUUGUGAUCAAAGGUUUGUGGUGAUUUCUGUCAAAUAAAAACAUCAUGGUGUGUCCUCACCUGCCUUAUUCACUGGCUCUGGCACCUUGCAAUUUCUGGCUCUUCCCCAAAGUCAAAAUGACCAUGAAAGGUGAAUGUUCUGAAUGGAUUCUGGAUAUCACGGCAGCCACAACAGUGUAACUAAAUACACUCACGUGAGAGAACUUCCAGAACUGCUUCAGGAAGUGGCAAGAAUGGGUUCUGAAGUCAAAGCUCAUUAAAUUAAUAAUGGCAGGAAAA
Cavia porcellus (domestic guinea pig) is the source of this 5806-nucleotide RNA transcript. It is a transcript of the gene named TAF5-like RNA polymerase II p300/CBP-associated factor-associated factor 65 kDa subunit 5L, with no coding region annotated. NCBI's taxonomy places the organism in Eukaryota, Metazoa, Chordata, Mammalia, Rodentia, Caviidae. The transcript has 4 exons. The record is from RefSeq and is a predicted model, not a curated record.